CCGCCGAAGACAGCAGGCGCCGAAAGGCCCAACAUUCCAGCCCGCCGAGGAACAAUCAAACAGAUUUUGAUUUUGUUGAUUUCUUUUCCUCUGUCUUUGGACAGAGGUUUUUUGUUUU
This 118-nucleotide small RNA is filed under the name bovine gut metagenome. RNAcentral describes it as "Ribosomal protein L10 leader". It matches the Rfam family "Ribosomal protein L10 leader", at positions 19 to 134 of the family's 138-position model. From Rfam's summary of the family: This family is a putative r-protein leader autoregulatory structure found in B. subtilis and other low-GC Gram-positive bacteria. It is located in the 5' untranslated regions of mRNAs encoding ribosomal proteins L10 and L12 (rplJ-rplL). The record is from RNAcentral.